CUAAUUACAUAUUGCCUUUUUUCAGAUUCAGAAAAACCAGGGAUCUUUAAUGCCUCUCCAGCUUCUGCAGUGCAUUGUUGAUGAGGUGAGGCAUCGUCUUAUGUGCUUUCCACUCCUAAAGUCAUCCCUAAUGGUGUGGAAAGCCUUAUAUUUUGUUUCCUAAUGAAGCACAAUGCCCAACAUCCUCGAAGCAAGUGUGUGGCAUGCUCGGAGCUGUGUUCCACGAGCCAGCCUUGUCCUGAAUCCUGCUCUCCCCAUCAAAGCUGAGAAGCGCUGUGAUGACACUGUCCCACAGGCUGGUCCUCAGGGAUGUCAGAGGCCCUGAAGACAAAACAGAAUAAUAUUAAUUGAUCCUUUUCCUGGCCAGAUGGGGAUGGAGCUGGAAAUUAAAGCGGUAUCACUUCUUCCAUAAGAGACACUGAAAAAAAGCAUUCCAUAGAAAAGGGUCAGAGUUGAGUGAAUAGUAACAUCGUGGAUAAAAUUUGCCUUUCUGGUUUUAUCCAUCAAAGCAAAUCACAGUUUAAAAGGGGGAGGGGUUUGCUCAAAGCUCUGGUCAAUGGUUGAUCUUUAAUUACCUCCUGAGGCAUUUUCAGAGGCUGCCUCCGGCUUCUUGAUUCCUCUAGUAUCCCAGUAAGGAGCCUCUCUCUUUCUAAAUUCUCUUGCUUCGAGCAUCCUUCCCCUGGCCUUCCUCUGCCCCUCUACCUCUGUGAAUUCAUCCACCUCACUCAGCUAGCUGAUUAUUCUUCUCGCUGACUUUCUGCUCCUCUUGAUUAUUAGCAGUCUUACAGUACUCAAGGCUCUCAAUUGAGGCAUAGUAACUUUAAAAAACCUCAGCCUCCUAGUGAAGUUUAGCUUUUAAAACUUUAAUUUUAUAAUGCUUAGAA
This 884-nucleotide long non-coding RNA is filed under the name Rattus norvegicus (Norway rat). Its description in RNAcentral is "long non-coding RNA NONRATT028677". Lineage: Eukaryota; Metazoa; Chordata; Mammalia; Rodentia; Muridae. The record is from RNAcentral.